RNAcentral lists this ribosomal RNA (497 nucleotides) under uncultured bacterium. Its description in RNAcentral is "partial 16S ribosomal RNA". It matches the Rfam family "Bacterial small subunit ribosomal RNA", at positions 28 to 507 of the family's 1533-position model. The record is from RNAcentral.
GAUGAACGCUGGCGGCGUGCCUAAUACAUGCAAGUCGAGCGAACAGACGAGGAGCUUGCUCCUCUGACGUUAGCGGCGGACGGGUGAGUAACACGUGGAUAACCUACCUAUAAGACUGGGAUAACUUCGGGAAACCGGAGCUAAUACCGGAUAAUAUAUUGAACCGCAUGGUUCAAUAGUGAAAGACGGUUUUGCUGUCACUUAUAGAUGGAUCCGCGCCGCAUUAGCUAGUUGGUAAGGUAACGGCUUACCAAGGCAACGAUGCGUAGCCGACCUGAGAGGGUGAUCGGCCACACUGGAAAUGAGACACGGUCCAGACUCCUACGGGAGGCAGAAGUAGGGAAUCUUCCGCAAUGGGCGAAAGCCUGACGGAGCAACGCCGCGUGAGUGAUGAAGGUCUUCGGAUCGUAAAACUCUGUUAUUAGGGAAGAACAAAUGUGUAAGUAACUAUGCAAGUCUUGACGGUACCUAAUCAGAAAGCCACGGCUAACUACGUG